RNAcentral lists this ribosomal RNA (253 nucleotides) under uncultured bacterium. RNAcentral describes it as "partial 16S ribosomal RNA". It matches the Rfam family "Bacterial small subunit ribosomal RNA", at positions 524 to 776 of the family's 1533-position model. The record is from RNAcentral.
UACGUAGGGUGCGAGCGUUAAUCGGAAUUACUGGGCGUAAAGGGCGCGUAGGCGGUCUUGCAAGUCCUGUGUGAAAUCCCUCGGCUCAACUGAGGAACUGCACAGGAAACUGCUUGGCUUGAGUUCGGGAGAGGGAAGCGGAAUUCCGGGUGUAGCGGUGAAAUGCGUAGAUAUCCGGAGGAACACCGGUGGCGAAGGCGGCUUCCUGGACCGACACUGACGCUGAGGCACGAAAGCGUGGGGAGCAAACAGG